Molecule: ribosomal RNA, 394 nt
Filed under: uncultured Pseudomonas sp.
Lineage: Bacteria; Pseudomonadati; Pseudomonadota; Gammaproteobacteria; Pseudomonadales; Pseudomonadaceae
Description: bacterial SSU rRNA
Rfam family: Bacterial small subunit ribosomal RNA
Source: RNAcentral
GCAGAGAACUUUCCAGAGAUGGAUUGGUGCCUUCGGGAACUCUGACACAGGUGCUGCAUGGCUGUCGUCAGCUCGUGUCGUGAGAUGUUGGGUUAAGUCCGUAACGAGCGCAACCCUUGUCCUUAGUUACCAGCACGUUAUGGUGGGCACUCUAAGGAGACUGCCGGUGACAAACCGGAGGAAGGUGGGGAUGGCGUCAAGUCAUCAUGGCCCUUACGGCCUGGGCUACACACGUGCUACAAUGGUCGGUACAAAGGGUUGCCAAGCCGCGAGGUGGAGCUAAUCCCAUAAAACCGAUCGUAGUCCGGAUCGCAGUCUGCAACUCGACUGCGUGAAGUCGGAAUCGCUAGUAAUCGUGAAUCAGAAUGUCACGGUGAAUACGUUCCCGGGCCUU